AGCAGCCGCGGUAAUUCCAGCUCCAAUAGCGUAUAUUAAAGUUGUUGCAGUUAAAAAGCUCGUAGUUGAAUUUCGGGAUCAAUAUGUCGGUCGUGCUUUUUGGUACGUACUGGCGUCAUUGGUUUCUCCUUUCUGACGAACCAUGAUGUCAUUAAUUUGGUGUUAUGGGGAGUUAGGACUGUUACUUUGAAAAAAAUUGGAGUGUUUAUAGCAGGCUCACGCUUGAAUACAUUAGCAUGGAAUAAUGAAAUAGGACGUUUGACCCUAUUUUGUUGGUUUCUAGGAUCGACGUAAUGAUUAAUAGGGAUAGUUGGGGGCAUUAGUAUUCAAUUGUCAGAGGUGAAAUUCUUGGAUUUAUUGAAGACUAACUACUGCGAAAGCAUUUGCCAAGGAUGUUUUCAUUAAUCAAGAACGAAAGUUAGGGGAUCGAAGACGAUCAGAUACCGUCGUAGUCUUAACCAUAAACUAUGCCGACUAGGGAUCGGAUGGUGUUAAUUUUUUUAAUGACUCAUUCGGCGCC
RNAcentral lists this ribosomal RNA (520 nucleotides) under uncultured Glomus. RNAcentral describes it as "SSU rRNA". It matches the Rfam family "Eukaryotic small subunit ribosomal RNA", at positions 569 to 1087 of the family's 1831-position model. The record is from RNAcentral. Lineage: Eukaryota; Fungi; Glomeromycota; Glomeromycetes; Glomerales; Glomeraceae.